Molecule: ribosomal RNA, 797 nt
Filed under: uncultured archaeon
Lineage: Archaea
Description: bacterial SSU rRNA
Rfam family: Archaeal small subunit ribosomal RNA
Source: RNAcentral
ACGGGGUGCAGCAGGCGCGAAAACUUCACAAUGUGCGAAAGCACGAUGAGGGGAUCCCAAGUGCUGGCUCGUAAGAGUCAGCUGUUUUUCUGUCUAAAAAACAGAGAGAGUAAGAGCUGGGUAAGACGGGUGCCAGCCGCCGCGGUAAUACCUGCAGCUCAAGUGGUGGCCGCUAUUAUUGGGCCUAAAACGUCCGUAGCCGGUUUAGUAAAUGUCUGGGUAAAUCGUGUAGCUUAACUAUACGAAUUCCGGGUAGACUGCUAAACUUGGGACCGGGAGAUGCUAGAGGUACUCCUGGGGUAGAGGUGAAAUUCUGUAAUCCUAGGGGGACCACCAGUGGCGAAGGCGUCUAGCUAGAACGGGUCUGACGGUGAGGGACGAAGCCCUGGGGCGCAAACCGGAUUAGAUACCCGGGUAGUCCGGGGUGUAAACGCUGCUCGCUUGAUGUUAGUUGAGCUCCGAGCCCAAUUAGUGUCGGAGAGAAGUUGUUAAGCGAGCUGCCUGGGAAGUACGGUCGCAAGACUGAAACUUAAAGGAAUUGGCGGGGGAGCACAGCAACGGGUGGAGCGUGCGGUUUAAUUGGAUUCAACGCCGGAAAACUCACCGGGGGCGACGGUUACAUGAAGGCCAGGUUGAUGACCUUGCCUGAUUUUCCGAGAAGUGGUGCAUGGCCGUCGUCAGUUCGUACCGUGAGGCGUUCUGUUAAGUCAGAUAACGAACGAGACCCUCAUCUUUAGUUGCAACUGGUAAGUUCGCUUAUCAGGCACACUAAAGAGACCGCUGGCGAUAAGUCAGAG